Felis catus (domestic cat) is the source of this 1573-nucleotide long non-coding RNA. RefSeq lists it as uncharacterized. The record is from RefSeq and is a predicted model, not a curated record. NCBI's taxonomy places the organism in Eukaryota, Metazoa, Chordata, Mammalia, Carnivora, Felidae. The transcript is spliced from 3 exons.
AUACUAUAAGAAAAGGUCCCCUUGGGAUGCUGAUUUGUGAAAUACACCAUACCCUCAUUUAACUGAUGAGAAAACUGAGGUUGACUUGCUCACUGUCACAUGUUAGCCAGUAAGUGGUGGCACCGUGGGCACUCGAACCUGAAAUUUCUAGCCACACAGCCAUUUUCUUAAUCUUUACCCAACACCGCUCUCAGAGCAAAUCUGAAGACCUAUUUUAUCUGAACAUCAGAUUCUUCAGUUUAAUGAGGAGAUUGGAUGAUACCAUCUCCUGGUUCUGAAAUGAUCUGAUAAAGCCCUGCUAACACAGCAGGAAAAAGGCCUGCUCCUGAGCUUUUUCCCAGAAGCUACCUGAAAACCCUGACAAUGCCAAGAUGUGGAAUAGCAGCAGCCAGCUCUAAUCUUCAUUAAGUAGGAGCUCAAGGUCUACAAUCAGAUCUCAAUCUUGUGGUCAGACCUCCAGAGGUAUUUGAAUAAAUACAUCCACGAAUUCCUCACGUAUCUGGUAAAUAUUAGAAUGUCUGCCUUGCUAUCUCAAAAAAGGAAUCCCUCCCAAGAUUCCAUGUGCCAGCUACAAGCCUCGUCUUUCUUUGCCCUUUCUUACAGGAAACUCCUCAGAGGAGUGGUCUCCACUUGGUACCAUUCUUAGUCUCCCAUUUUUUUUUCUCAAUUUACUCCAAUUGGACUUUGACCCCAUCAGUCCAGAGAAACCUCUCUUGUCAAUGUCACCCACAAACUCCUCGACGUUCCUCAUCUGGCCAGGACUGGAAACAAAUUGUAGCAUCAUGAUACAGAAGAACAGGUUCUGAAAUUAGCAACAACAGGAAGAUGAGGAGAAAGCUACCCUCCUCCCUUCCCUGAAGGCCAGAACAGCAGGUGUGCCUAUUUUCAGAGGAACCCGCAUGUCCUCCCCACCCAAGCAAGUAAACUGAGAGAACGGAUCAUAGACCUGCUGCUUCCACAGUAUAUUAUGCUAUAUGCAGGUACUUUUCUGCAAUCAUAAAAGUUUAUAUUGACAGAGAUACUGCUUCUGAUAUAUCGAUCAAUGACAAAAACGUAAGCUACUGUAUUCACAUCAUCACCUCAACUAUGCAUAAAUAUCACAGAACACCUAAAAGAUAAAAAUACUAUCAAAAAACUGAAAAGAUUUUAGUUUAAUGAUUAUCUCUGGGUCUGCAGAUUAUGGGUGAUUAUUUCGUGGUUUGUGUUUUCAGUGUUUUCCACAAGAACUUUGUAUUACUUUCAUCGACUAUUUUUUUUUCUACUUUAAAUUAAAGCACACAGGAGAAUACAAGUAGGCCACUGGACACAGCAGAAAAUUUGAAAGUAAACUAAUUUGGAUUCAAACUCUGGCUUGACUGCGCACUGUUAUGAGAUCUUGGGCAAAUUUGCCUGUUUCUUCAGCUGUAAAGUGAGAAACAUAAUACUCACCCUCAGGGUUGUUGUAAAUUAUAAGUAGUUACAUCAACCACAGCAUUAUGCACCUCCUUAGACACCUUCUGCCUGCUAGCCUCCCAUGGGUGGCCAACCAAUUACUUGCUCUGGGGGAGCCUCCUUGUUGGCCAUCUCUACACAG